RNAcentral lists this ribosomal RNA (573 nucleotides) under uncultured Corynebacterium sp. RNAcentral's name for it is "bacterial SSU rRNA". It matches the Rfam family "Bacterial small subunit ribosomal RNA", at positions 337 to 918 of the family's 1533-position model. Lineage: Bacteria; Bacillati; Actinomycetota; Actinomycetes; Mycobacteriales; Corynebacteriaceae. The record is from RNAcentral.
UCCUACGGGAGGCAGCAGUGGGGAAUAUUGCACAAUGGGCGCAAGCCUGAUGCAGCGACGCCGCGUGGGGGAUGACGGCCUUCGGGUUGUAAACUCCUUUCGCCAGGGACGAAGCGUUUUGUGACGGUACCUAGAUAAGAAGCACCGGCUAACUACGUGCCAGCAGCCGCGGUAAUACGUAGGGUGCGAGCGUUGUCCGGAAUUACUGGGCGUAAAGGGCUCGUAGGUGGUUUGUCGCGUCGUCUGUGAAAUUCUGGGGCUUAACUCCGGGCGUGUAGGCGAUACGGGCAUAACUUGAGUGCUGUAGGGGUAACUGGAAUUCCUGGUGUAGCGGUGAAAUGCGCAGAUAUCAGGAGGAACACCGAUGGCGAAGGCAGGUUACUGGGCAGUUACUGACGCUGAGGAGCGAAAGCAUGGGUAGCGAACAGGAUUAGAUACCCUGGUAGUCCAUGCUGUAAACGGUGGGCGCUAGGUGUGAGGGUUUUUCUACGAUUCUCGUGCCGUAGCUAACGCAUUAAGCGCCCCGCCUGGGGAGUACGGCCGCAAGGCUAAAACUCAAAGGAAUUGACGGGG